Molecule: ribosomal RNA, 781 nt
Filed under: uncultured bacterium
Lineage: Bacteria
Description: bacterial SSU rRNA
Rfam family: Bacterial small subunit ribosomal RNA
Source: RNAcentral
GAACGGGUGAGUAACACGUGGGUGAUCUGCCCUGCACUUUGGGAUAAGCCUGGGAAACUGGGUCUAAUACCGAAUAGGACCACGCGCUUCAUGGUGUGUGGUGGAAAGCCUUUGCGGUGUGGGAUGGGCCCGCGGCCUAUCAGCUUGUUGGUGGGGUAAUGGCCUACCAAGGCGACGACGGGUAGCCGGCCUGAGAAGGUGACCGGCCACACUGGGACUGAGAUACGGCCCAGACUCCUACGGGAGGCAGCAGUGGGGAAUAUUGCACAAUGGGCGCAAGCCUGAUGCAGCGACGCCGCGUGAGGGAUGACGGCCUUCGGGUUGUAAACCUCUUUCAAUAGGGACGAAGCGCAAGUGACGGUACCUAUAGAAGAAGCACCGGCCAACUACGUGCCAGCAGCCGCGGUAAUACGUAGGGUGCGAGCGUUGUCCGGAAUUACUGGGCGUAAAGAGCUCGUAGGUGGUUUGUCGCGUUGUUCGUGAAAACUCACAGCUUAACUGUGGGCGUGCGGGCGAUACGGGCAGACUAGAGUACUGCAGGGGAGACUGGAAUUCCUGGUGUAGCGGUGGAAUGCGCAGAUAUCAGGAGGAACACCGGUGGCGAAGGCGGGUCUCUGGGCAGUAACUGACGCUGAGGAGCGAAAGCGUGGGGAGCGAACAGGAUUAGAUACCCUGGUAGUCCACGCCGUANACGGUGGGUACUAGGUGUGGGUUCCUUCCUUGGGAUCCGUGCCGUAGCUAACGCAUUAAGUACCCCGCCUGGGGAGUACGGCCGCAAGGC